UCUUCCGCAAUGGACGAAAGUCUGACGGAGCAACGCCGCGUGAGUGAUGACGGCCUUCGGGUUGUAAAGCUCUGUUAAUCGGGACGAAAGGCCUUCUUGCGAACAGUUAGAAGGAUUGACGGUACCGGAAUAGAAAGCCACGGCUAACUACGUGCCAGCAGCCGCGGUAAUACGUAGGUGGCAAGCGUUGUCCGGAAUUAUUGGGCGUAAAGCGCGCGCAGGCGGAUCAGUCAGUCUGUCUUAAAAGUUCGGGGCUUAACCCCGUGAUGGGAUGGAAACUGCUGAUCUAGAGUAUCGGAGAGGAAAGUGGAAUUCCUAGUGUAGCGGUGAAAUGCGUAGAUAUUAGGAAGAACACCAGUGGCGAAGGCGACUUUCUGGACGAAAACUGACGCUGAGGCGCGAAAGCCAGGGGAGCGAACGGGAUUAGAUACCCCGGUAGUCCUGGCCGUAAACGAUGGGUACUAGGUGUAGGAGGUAUCGACCCCUUCUGUGCCGGAGUUAACGCAAUAAGUACCCCGCCUGGGGAGUACGACCGCAAGGUUGAAACUCAAAGGAAUUGACGGGGGCCCGCACAAG
RNAcentral lists this ribosomal RNA (576 nucleotides) under uncultured bacterium. Its description in RNAcentral is "bacterial SSU rRNA". It matches the Rfam family "Bacterial small subunit ribosomal RNA", at positions 362 to 929 of the family's 1533-position model. The record is from RNAcentral.